This 503-nucleotide ribosomal RNA is filed under the name uncultured bacterium. RNAcentral describes it as "bacterial SSU rRNA". It matches the Rfam family "Bacterial small subunit ribosomal RNA", at positions 15 to 507 of the family's 1533-position model. The record is from RNAcentral.
GAUCAUGGCUCAGGAUGAACGCUAGCUACAGGCUUAACACAUGCAAGUCGAGGGGAAACGAUAUUGGAAGCUUGCUUCCGAUAGGCGUCGACCGGCGCACGGUGAGUAACGCGUAUCCAACCUGCCCAUCACUUGGGGAUAACCUUGCGAAAGUAAGACUAAUACCCAAUGACGUCUCUAGAAGACAUCUGAAGGAGAUUAAAGAUUUAUCGGUGAUGGAUGGGGAUGCGUCUGAUUAGCUUGUUGGCGGGUAACGGCCCACCAAGGCGACGAUCAGUAGGGGUUCUGAGAGGAAGGUCCCCCACAUUGGAACUGAGACACGGUCCAAACUCCUACGGGAGGCAGCAGUGAGGAAUAUUGGUCAAUGGACGAGAGUCUGAACCAGCCAAGUAGCGUGAAGGAUGAAGGUCCUACGGAUUGUAAACUUCUUUUAUAAGGGAAUAAACCCUCCCACGUGUGGGAGCUUGUAUGUACCUUAUGAAUAAGCAUCGGCUAACUCCGUG